GGUUUUACUCNGGAAAAGCCACAGAGAUGUUGUUCCUUUGGGGGCGGUGGACAGGUGUGCAUGGUUGUUGUCAGCUCGUGUUGUGAGAAGUUGGGGUAAGUCCCGCAACGAGGGCAACCCCCGUCCUAUGUUGCCAGCACGUUAUGGUGGGGACUUAUAGGAGACUGCCGGGGUCAAAUCGGAGGAAGGUGGGGAAGAAGUCAAAUCAUCAUGCCCCUUAUGUCCAGGGCUUCAAACAUGGUACAAUGGCCGGUACAAAGGGGUGGGAAACCGCGAGGGGGAGCCAAUUCCAAAAAACCCGUUUCAGUUUGGAUUGGCGUUGCAACUUGACCUCNNGAAGUCGGAGUUNNUNNUNANUG
RNAcentral lists this ribosomal RNA (359 nucleotides) under uncultured bacterium. Its description in RNAcentral is "partial 16S ribosomal RNA". It matches the Rfam family "Bacterial small subunit ribosomal RNA", at positions 978 to 1344 of the family's 1533-position model. The record is from RNAcentral.